AUCGAACUUCGUGCACAUGUAGACGUGAUGCUUUGACGAUAAAUAUUUAUUAAAAUUCAAAUUAUUUAUUUCUGCCUUGUAAAGGUACAGACAGCGGAGGCGAAGAAAAAGCUGUCAGAUGCAGAUUGACAAAGCCGCAGCCCCCUUUCGCUUGGCAGAGCCUUUACAGCGAGACUUUUCAAACAAAGAGAAUUGCACACGGUAAUAACAGGUAUACAAUAAUGAACAAGUACAAAAGGAAACAACACAAGAUUAUACAAUAUUUAUACAAUACUUCCAAAAGAGAAAACAGAACCUACAUGCUAACGUGCAUAGCACCCAAAGUACUGUUCGGCGCAUUGAAUAGUUCAAAAUUAUUGUUUACAUAAGCUAUAUACAUGUUCGUAUAGAGCUACCAAUCCCUGCAAAAUAUUACACACACACACGCACGCACGUGCACAGCACGCACACCAAAAGGAAACGGCAACGCGCUCACAGGAAGCGCCUGACACAAAAAAAAAAGGAAAAGUGUGGGGAACCGAGGUCGUAUUGCGCUGUCGCAUCUCCCUCUCCCAGAAGGAAUGAAGAGGUUCUUGGAAAGCAGGGACGGGCGAUUCUCUCUGUCAGCAUCAGCUCCCACCAGCGAGGACGGGGCGAGAAAGCGAAGGGGGACUUUCCUUGCUGUCUAUUUUUAUGCGAAGCAUAUUACUAGAGCUCAACCCAGCUCCUCAGGCGCGGCGGUGUCGCCUUCAAUACCACGUGACACCGUGACGUCACGACAGAGGAGAAACGGGGCUCCAACUCGCGCCGUCGCUCGCGGCGUCGCGGCGGUAUAUAAGCAGCUGCGCUUGUUUCUAGGUGGCUUUGGCUCAACUCUUGCAAGAUGGGCUGGGUGGGAAUCGAGCCAGGGUCUCCGGAGUGUGAGACGGAGACGCUACCACUGAGCCACGAGUUUUUUUUUUUUUUUUCCUUAUUGUCCACUGAGCCACGAGUACGAUGUACGAUGCUUCAAAGCGGUACAAAAGCGCCUCUAGUGAAUGCGGUGUUGCCUUAGAAACGAGCUGUUUCUAAGGCUCAGGCGGGCGUCGCUUGCUCAGGCGCACAUUUCGUUGCCGCGCCGAAUGCUGCGUUGCUCGACGCUCACCGCGUCCAAUGCGGGGCGCGUAGUCGCUGCGCCGUAGCCCAUUGUCUUACACCCCUUGGCGGGUCGACGGGAACGCUCUCGCGUUCCACUCUUGAAGGCGAAGCAGAGUAACGCAUGAGUUGUUUCUUCGUCUAGCCGAACCAAAUAUAGCCAAGCAACAGCAGUUCACCAGGCUAAACAGUGGUUCAACAACUAAAAUAAAGGCUAGUAUGCUUCGCAUCCUGGGCUUAACCUUAGCUAAGCCACAGCCAUUUUUUUCUUCGUCACGCUCAAAGCCGGCUGCUCGCAGGGGCGCAGGCGAGUUCCCACGAAAUGGCGCGGGGGCGCAAGCAGUGACGUGAGUUGCCGCCAAAUGCUAGCUCUGGAUGCCAGCUCGUUCCGCGUCUCUUGGUAGACUAGUUGGUGCAUUUCUGUUAUCAUGGACUGCGCAUAUAAACGCGAACUACACAAAAGUGACAUGGACAAGAACAGCGCAAGCCCUUUCCAUGCAGUGGAGCCGCCGUAUGUCGCCGUUCAAGAUAUGCGUACUCGUAAGUGGCAUUCGAAUUUCACGUUGUGUAAUGCAUGACUGUCUUUUUCAUCUGAACAAAACUCGCUUUGUAUUGCGUAAAUGGUUUUGCAACGUAUGAUAAACUCCUUGUUUUUUGGGCUUAUUUUUUUCUGACAGGAAGAAAAAAAAGAGGCUUUAUAUGAGAACGGAUCAAGCGUUCGAGAGUUGGGACAGGGAAAUGUGAGACGUACUUUCAUGUAUACAUUUCUAAUAUUAUUUUUUCGUCUUGUAUUUUCCUUAAUUUUUCUCUAGGAAACACUCGAACGACACCGCUUAAAUUGAAGCACAGUGUGCGAAUGACCUGCUACGCUCAGAACUGUUACCACCAUUCGGGAAUAAAUCAGAUGAAAAAACAAAACUGUAAAUUCCUGUACGAUAUAUACGUCUGGUGCAUUGCAGGUAAGAAUGGAUUGUGUGUGGCACAUCUCCGCAUGUGGACUAGAGUAGAUCUAGGAACAUCAGACAAGAAGCCGCGUAUGUGAAACCCUGCGGAUAGCCCAUAUGUGAACUUUUUUUCCAGAUACGGAGGAACGGACACCGGUCAUGCCGUGCGCACGCUUCUGCAGGGCAUACUUACAAAUGAAGCUGCACUGCAGCAUACAGAAAGAAAAAAAAGUUAAGAGUGGACACUCCCAUACACCCCCAGCGGCCCAAUCGACCCUAGCGCGCCUGGCGGUUGAUGAGAGCAACUGGCCUGCACUUCCUGUUUCGGUUUCGCUGGCGCGAAAUUUGGAUUACCCCUCGUAACCGACGUUGGGCUGUAGCGGAAGCUUGUCAUUUCAGACCACUUUUCGUCACCCAAAUGGCGACGCUUUUAUUUAUCAUUUUGGUUUAGCGAUUCCCUAUUUUGUCGAGUUCAAUGUUUGGUGUGAAUUGAGGUCGUGAGGCAAUUUUUAUUUCGAUUAAGUUGUAACAGAUGGAGAUAUAGGUAAUCAUAAUUCACUACGGCUUUAUCCAUCGCGCUUGUCUUCUGUGUUUUGGUACAAGCGCUCAUAUGUAUCAAAGAGACAGAGUUUCCGCAAAGUUUUUAUUCCAAGUCAAGAUAGGCUUCUUCUGGGUUCUGCCGUUGUCAAAGCACCACGACACACAGCAGUAGCUGCCGUAGCUUGGACCGCCGGACGGCAUGGCAUCAGCACGGUCUGAAAAUAUCAAUAAGUGCACGCUUCGUUAAUUACCAAAAACAUAUGUACACGUCAUAACUGUACCAGGAAACCGCUUUGAAUGAAUAGCGAACCGAUGCACAAUAUAAAACCACCGACACAUCCUGACCUCUGACCCAUAUAACCCGGACUUACAAGGAUAAAUGUUAAUACCCCGUACAGGGGUGUUCAAAUGUUCCCAGGCCGCCAUCCUAUUUAUUACCAUGGAGGGCAUCGCGGCCUGUGAAGUUUUGGACACCCCUGUACGUACUCAGUAUAAGGAGUACAUUGGUAGGCAAAAUAGCAGUUCACAUAAGCGUGAUAAAGAUACAUUCGAAACGUCCAAAUACGAGGCCUUUGUUCGAAUGCGCGCCACGCCACGCCUACGCGACAAUACGUUGUUUAAUGUCUUCGCCACGAAAAAAUGAUAAGGAACCGAAAAUUACUAGAAUGCGCAGUACUUCCCAACAUGCAAUAUGA
Long non-coding RNA from Dermacentor andersoni, 3292 nucleotides. RefSeq lists it as uncharacterized. Lineage: Eukaryota; Metazoa; Arthropoda; Arachnida; Ixodida; Ixodidae. The record is from RefSeq and is a predicted model, not a curated record.